ACAUUAAACUCUGCAAACUAAAUAUCGGCAAAAACGGAGAUAUUUUGGAAAGCAUAUUUUAGGAAAGCAAUUUUGCUGCCAGCCAGUACAAUAUAACGGUAUUCUUUGGCUUGCAUUUUGCCGAAGUAGGUUUCUCUCGCUUCGUUUUCUGGUCGUCUGGUUAUUUGCUAUACUAUCAUGCCAAAUCAUCAGUUGAAGAACUGAGCUACUUUGAGCCUAGUACUCCGAUCCGAAAAAAUGUUUGCUAGCAGCAAAGUGUCACCAGGUGUGCAUUCUGUAUGGUUACACUGUUGAGUCAUCUGUGUUUUGUUAAUAAAUUGACCUGAAGUCUACAGUCUAAUGUCAUAUUACCAUUAUCAACAGUAUUUUGAAAAAAUAUCGGUAUUUUUUUGUGAUAGGCGGAAUGAAUUUUGCCGUUACUUACCUUUUUUUAAGGUAAUAGAAAUUAUGGAAAAUAUAAACAAACAAAAAAUCCCACCAGAAGAAAGACAUGACAAAACACUACAUCUAUUAUUAAAAAUAACCUGACACUUGAUAUAUCGAUUUUUCGAUACAUACUAUCGACUUGAUCAGCUGAGCAGAGUAGUGAGCGCCCAUUUCCAAACCACAUUGUAGGCUAUGACAACUAAACUUUACCAAUUUUCUUCAGAAAAGGAGAACUUUUCUCAAGUUUUGUAAAAAUAAAGUACGAAGACUAGCAACUGUAACUCAUAUCAGUUUUAAUCAUUGCACGGUGAUAAUGGAUUGGAUUACGUGGCUUGCCAAUAAUAUUGUCGAUUGUGAAUAACGUCGUCUUUGAUCGGCUGUUGGCUGCUGUUGUUCCGGUGCCAGGUGCUGGAGCCGUAUUGCUGGGCAUCAGAUGUUGGAGCCCCUUAAAUGCAUCGCUUAGUCCUGGGAGCCGGUGGUUGUGCGUCGGCGUGAAGGCGCUCGGGGAAUGUAAUUCAUCGUGCAGGGCCGAUGCACUAUCCGGGACGUUCUGAGCUGUCUUGCUGGAGCACGGACUGUCCGUGGAUGCAUCGCCAUCCACCUCGGCGUCGACGUCUGCGUUGGAUUCUCUAACCACCGUGGAAGCGCCUGGAAGUUGGCGCACCCCACUUGCCUCGCCAUUAAACAGGCUGUUGAAGCCAAGGGAUACGGAUAAGUACUGACGGUGCAGAUCCGUGAUGCGAUCCGAGUAGUUCGGCCUCUCGUUGCAGAAGAUAUCAAAGUCGUUCAGUGAGUCGCUGGGCGAUCUGAUUUCCGCCGUACUGCUGCCAUCCGUAGCAUCCUGACGGAAUCAAUAAAUCAAUUUGAUUACUUUAUCCAGCAUCUUCUGCAGCCUCUCCUCUUACCUUGCCCGCAUCCCGUUCAUAGCGACUGGCGUUGGUGCAAUGCCUCUGCCUCCGGGUCCGACGUCGACGGUAGUUACCCUGUUCGAACAUGUCCGAGGCGGAGGCAUCCAGCAUCCAGUAGCUGCCCUUUCCGGCGCUAUCAUUGUCAUCGAUGGUGUUCUUGUCUCGCGGCACCUUCACAAAGCAGUCGUUCAGCGAUAGAUUGUGUCGGAUGGAGUUCUGCCAGCCCUGUUUGUUAUCCCGAUAGUAGGGGAAUCUAAAAGAAUCGAAAAUAAAGAUCAAUAAUCAAUAAUUAAUAGUCAAUCUAUGCAAAACAGCCUUCAAGUUAAUAAAAUUUAAUUUAAAUAAGAAUUUUAAACUGAAAACUAGAUAAAAUUCAUAGUAAUCUUGAUAAAGUGAUCCAAAAUUGACAAUAAAUAUUGGGAAACCGAUCUUUACUGCUCUGUUCUGAUAUGACACGAUUUAUUUUGACUUUCGAGAGCUUGUUUCAAUUCGAAAACCUUAUUUUUAAUAUACCAGAUUCCUUAUAAGAAAUAAUUAUUUUAUGGCAAAGAUCACACAGAGAUAAUUUAAAUAAAUAUCUACGUCAAUUUUACGUGUAAUCCUUUCAGAUAUUUACCCAAUUUUGAACAUGAUAUAGUAGGCUAAUGAAUGUAUGGCUGUUCCUAAUUAAACUCGGAAAAUUAUGUUCAAUAUUUCACCGCUAAAGUCCCAGAUUAUGCCAAUGCUUUUUCAACUGUUUUGAAAUGCGUUUUCACAUACAAAUGUACAUUUAAUUUGUAUACAGACUAUAUAUUUGUCUAUUUAAAUUAUAUAUAAAACUGGAA
This is a long non-coding RNA of Drosophila miranda, 2158 nucleotides long. RefSeq lists it as uncharacterized. Lineage: Eukaryota; Metazoa; Arthropoda; Insecta; Diptera; Drosophilidae. The record is from RefSeq and is a predicted model, not a curated record. The transcript is spliced from 2 exons.